This 497-nucleotide ribosomal RNA is filed under the name uncultured bacterium. Its description in RNAcentral is "partial 16S ribosomal RNA". It matches the Rfam family "Bacterial small subunit ribosomal RNA", at positions 28 to 507 of the family's 1533-position model. The record is from RNAcentral.
GACGAACGCUGGCGGCGUGCCUAAUACAUGCAAGUAGAACGCUGAAGAGAGGAGCUUACUCUUCUUGGAUGAGUUGCGAACGGGUGAGUAACGCGUAGGUAACCUGCCUCGUAGCGGGGGAUAACUAUUGGAAACGAUAGCUAAUACCGCAUAACAAUGGAUGACACAUGUCAUUUAUUUGAAAGGGGCAAUUGCUCCACUACAAGAUGGACCUGCGUUGUAUUAGCUAGUAGGUGAGGUAAUGGCUCACCUAGGCGACGAUACAUAGCCGACCUGAGAGGGUGAUCGGCCACACUGGGGCUGAGACACGGCCCAGACUCCUACGGGAGGCAGCAGUAGGGAAUCUUCGGCAAUGGGGGCAACCCUGACCGAGCAACGCCGCGUGAGUGAAGAAGGUUUUCGGAUCGUAAAGCUCUGUUGUAAGUCAAGAACGGGUGUGAGAGUGGAAAGUUCACACUGUGACGGUAGCUUACCAGAAAGGGACGGCUAACUACGUG